This 418-nucleotide unclassified non-coding RNA is filed under the name soil metagenome. Its description in RNAcentral is "partial contains 5.8S ribosomal RNA, internal transcribed spacer 2, and large subunit ribosomal RNA". The stretch from base 1 to 120 matches the Rfam family "5.8S ribosomal RNA", at positions 35 to 154 of the family's 154-position model. The record is from RNAcentral.
GAUGAAGAACGCAGCGAAAUGCGAUAAGUAAUGUGAAUUGCAGAAUUCAGUGAAUCAUCGAAUCUUUGAACGCAUCUUGCGCUCCUUGGUAUUCCUCGGAGCAUGCCUGUUUGAGUAUCAUGAGCAAAUCUCAAAGUCAAUUCCUUUUGUUGAUUCAAUUGGUUUUGCUUUGGACUUGGAGGCCUUGCAGAUUUCACAGUCUGCUCCUCUUAAAUGCAUUAGCUGGAUCUCAGUAAUUAUGCUUGGUUCCACUCGGCGUGAUAAGUAUCACUCGCUGAGGACACUGUUAAAAAGGUGGCCAGGAAAAUACUGAUUGAACCGCUUCUAACGGUCUAUUAAGUUAGACAAUUACCCUUAAGUUUGAUCUCAAAUCAGGUAGGACUACCCGCUGAACUUAAGCAUAUCAAUAAGCGGAGGA